Amphiprion ocellaris (clown anemonefish) is the source of this 525-nucleotide long non-coding RNA. NCBI's taxonomy places the organism in Eukaryota, Metazoa, Chordata, Actinopteri, Pomacentridae. The record is from Ensembl.
AGCUCCUAGCACGGCUGAAGUCAAGUGAUGGCACCGUGGCGCUUCAGCUGAUUCUACCAGCAGACACUGAAAGAGCUCUGAUAGUUUGGUUUCCCAGAGACUAUGGGUUGAGGAGGAAUUGGAAGUUUGUCGGCUUAGACCUGGUGUCAUUCCAUCAGUGUUAAACUUCCUGGCUCAUCUUGGAAGAGUACGUGCCAGAAAGACCACGACCAAGCAGCCUUGAGAUCUUAGGCAGCGUCUCCCUGAGCCUUGGUCUGGAUCAUUGGGAACAUCUGCUCUGAUGGACUGAGAACUACAGUGAACAUGGACAUCCAGCUGUGGUUGUCUUAAGUCUUUUCUCCUUCAUCAUUGUGAGGAAGAGCAGCACUGAUGUCCUCCUCAUCCUUCCAGUAAUAACAAUAAUUCUGCAGAUUCAGCACCUCUUCAUAAUACAACUUGUGACUUCAGUAUUUACACUUCACUGUCAGCAACACGUUGUUUAUUUCAUCCAUUUAUUUCAUGUGUUUACACAUCUUUACAGUUCAC